GACGAACGCUGGCGGCGUGCUUAACACAUGCAAGUCGAACGGAAAGGCCCUGCUUUGUGGGGGUGGUCGGGGGGCGACGGGGGAAGUAACACGUGGGUAACCUGCCCUUGACUGUGGGAGAACUUCAGGAAACUGGGGCUAAUACCGGCAAGGAGCUCCUGCUGCAGGGUGGGGGUUGGAAAGUUUCGGCGGUUGGGGAUGGACUCGCGGCUUAUCAGGUUGUUGGUGGGGUAGUGGCUUACCAUGGCUUUGACGGGUAGCCGGCCUGAGCGGGUGACCGGCCACAUUGCGCCUGAGAUACGGCCCAGACUCCUACGGGAGGCAGCAGUGGGGAAUAGUGCACAAUGGGCGGAAGCCUGAUGUAGCAACGCCGCGUGCGGGAUGACGGCCUUCGGGUUGUAAACCGCUUUCGCCUGUGACGAAGCGUGAGUGACGGUAAUGGGUAAAGAAGCACCGGCUAACUACGUG
Molecule: ribosomal RNA, 468 nt
Filed under: uncultured bacterium
Lineage: Bacteria
Description: partial 16S ribosomal RNA
Rfam family: Bacterial small subunit ribosomal RNA
Source: RNAcentral